CACACCAUCCUUAGGGUGCAAGUAUUGAACCUCACCAUUAGGAAACACCCUGUAAAACCUGUAGUUAAUCUUGUACUUUGACCUAAGCCUAGUACCAAGUGCUAAACACUGCUCUUUCCUCGCCAAUUUCAGCAAAUUAGCACCUUCCCUCAUAAUAGCUGCACCACCAGUUGGCAUCUCAAAGAUCUGUUCUUUAGGUGAUUCCCAAGUAAUUACGUAAAACUCCUCAACUUGGGCCUUGCGGAGAAGCCCACCGGUGCUGCCACCGAAGAUUGGGGAAGGUGUGUUUGGGUCCAAUUGUGGUGGGGUAAAGCCCACUGGAGCCUCUGCUUCUUUUGUGGCGGCUUCUUCGGCCAUGGCUCUAAUGGGACGGGGAGCGGAAACAGUGGAUUUGAGUUGCUUAGGAGAGAAGGAAGCAAGGGAUUGUUUCCAUGGGGCUGAAGAUUUUGGGGCAGAGAGAGCUGGAGUGAAGAGAGAAGCUUGAGUUGCCAUGGCCAUUGUAGAAUUAUUGGCUUAGAAAAGUGGAGGAAAUGGAGAAGUAUUUGUGCAGAAUGAGAAUGAGAUAAGAGAGUUCAUUUUUUGUUAUUCAGAUAUAUGUGGUGG
RNAcentral lists this long non-coding RNA (603 nucleotides) under Nicotiana tabacum (common tobacco). RNAcentral's name for it is "long non-coding RNA (NTAB_LNC005547)". The record is from RNAcentral. Lineage: Eukaryota; Viridiplantae; Streptophyta; Magnoliopsida; Solanales; Solanaceae.